This 1470-nucleotide ribosomal RNA is filed under the name Virgibacillus halodenitrificans. RNAcentral's name for it is "bacterial SSU rRNA". It matches the Rfam family "Bacterial small subunit ribosomal RNA". Lineage: Bacteria; Bacillati; Bacillota; Bacilli; Caryophanales; Bacillaceae. The record is from RNAcentral.
GCAUGGCGGCGUGCUAUACAUGCAAGUCGAGCGCGGGAAGCAAGCUGAUCCUCUUCGGAGGUGACGCUUGUGGAACGAGCGGCGGACGGGUGAGUAACACGUGGGCAACCUGCCUGUAAGACUGGGAUAACCCCGGGAAACCGGGGCUAAUACCGGAUAAUACUUUUCAUCACCUGAUGNNAAGUUGAAAGGUGGCUUUUAGCUACCACUUACAGAUGGGCCCGCGGCGCAUUAGCUAGUUGGUGAGGUAACGGCUCACCAAGGCAACGAUGCGUAGCCGACCUGAGAGGGUGAUCGGCCACACUGGGACUGAGACACGGCCCAGACUCCUACGGGAGGCAGCAGUAGGGAAUCUUCCGCAAUGGACGAAAGUCUGACGGAGCAACGCCGCGUGAGUGAUGAAGGUUUUCGGAUCGUAAAGCUCUGUUGUUAGGGAAGAACAAGUGCCGUUCGAAUAGGGCGGCACCUUGACGGUACCUAACCAGAAAGCCCCGGCUAACUACGUGCCAGCAGCCGCGGUAAUACGUAGGGGGCAAGCGUUGUCCGGAAUUAUUGGGCGUAAAGCGCGCGCAGGCGGUCCUUUAAGUCUGAUGUGAAAGCCCACGGCUCAACCGUGGAGGGUCAUUGGAAACUGGAGGACUUGAGUACAGAAGAGGAGAGUGGAAUUCCACGUGUAGCGGUGAAAUGCGUAGAGAUGUGGAGGAACACCAGUGGCGAAGGCGACUCUCUGGUCUGUAACUGACGCUGAGGCGCGAAAGCGUGGGGAGCGAACAGGAUUAGAUACCCUGGUAGUCCACGCCGUAAACGAUGAGUGCUAGGUGUUAGGGGGUUUCCGCCCCUUAGUGCUGAAGUUAACGCAUUAAGCACUCCGCCUGGGGAGUACGGCCGCAAGGCUGAAACUCAAAAGAAUUGACGGGGGCCCGCACAAGCGGUGGGAGCAUGUGGUUUAAUUCGACGCAACGCGAAGAACCUUACCAGGUCUUGACAUCCUCUGCAAUCGGUAGAGAUACCGAGUUCCCUUCGGGGACAGAGUGACAGGUGGUGCAUGGUUGUCGUCAGCUCGUGUCGUGAGAAUGUUGGGUUAAGUCCCGCAACGAGCGCAACCCUUGAUCUUAGUUGCCAGCAUUUAGUUGGGCACUCUAAGNGUGACUGCCGGUGACAAACCGGAGGAAGGUGGGGAUGACGUCAAAUCAUCAUGCCCCUUAUGACCUGGGCUACACACGUGCUACAAUGGAUGGAACAAAGGGAAGCAAAACCGCGAGGUCAAGCAAAUCCCAUAAAACCAUUCUCAGUUCGGAUUGCAGGCUGCAACUCGCCUGCAUGAAGCCGGAAUCGCUAGUAAUCGCGGAUCAGCAUGCCGCGGUGAAUACGUUCCCGGGCCUUGUACACACCGCCCGUCACACCACGAGAGUUGGUAACACCCGAAGUCGGUGAGGUAACCUUUGGAGCCAGCCGCCGAAUGGUGACCAA